UACGGGAGGCAGCAGUGAGGAAUAUUGGUCAAUGGACGAGAGUCUGAACCAGCCAAGUAGCGUGCAGGAUGACGGCCCUAUGGGUUGUAAACUGCUUUUAUAAGGGAAUAAAGUGAGUCUCGUGAGGCUUUUUGCAUGUACCUUACGAAUAAGGACCGGCUAAUUCCGUGCCAGCAGCCGCGGUAAUACGGAAGGUCCGGGCGUUAUCCGGAUUUAUUGGGUUUAAAGGGAGCGUAGGCCGGAGAUUAAGCGUGUUGUGAAAUGUAGAUGCUCAACAUCUGCACUGCAGCGCGAACUGGUUUCCUUGAGUACGCACAAAGUGGGCGGAAUUCGUGGUGUAGCGGUGAAAUGCUUAGAUAUCACGAAGAACUCCGAUUGCGAAGGCAGCUCACUGGAGCGCAACUGACGCUGAAGCUCGAAAGUGCGGGUAUCGAACAGGAUUAGAUACCCUGGUAGUCCGCACGGUAAACGAUGGAUGCCCGCUGUUGGUCUGAAUAGGUCAGCGGCCAAGCGAAAGCAUUAAGCAUCCCACCUGGGGAGUACGCCGGCAACGGUGCAACUCAAAUGAAUUGACGG
Molecule: ribosomal RNA, 576 nt
Filed under: uncultured Bacteroidota bacterium
Lineage: Bacteria; Pseudomonadati; Bacteroidota
Description: bacterial SSU rRNA
Rfam family: Bacterial small subunit ribosomal RNA
Source: RNAcentral